This 482-nucleotide ribosomal RNA is filed under the name uncultured bacterium. RNAcentral describes it as "bacterial SSU rRNA". It matches the Rfam family "Bacterial small subunit ribosomal RNA", at positions 28 to 507 of the family's 1533-position model. The record is from RNAcentral.
GAUGAACGCUAGCGGCAGGCCUAAUACAUGCAAGUCGAACGGAUAUAUGUUUUUCGGAAUAUAUAUUAGUGGCGCACGGGUGAGUAACACGUACAUAACUUGCCCUCAAGCGGGGGAUAGCCUUGGGAAACUGAGAGUAAUACCCCAUAGAAUUAUUGGACGGCAUCGUUUGAUAAUUAAAACUACGGUGUUUGGGGAUAGAUGUGCGUCUGAUUAGCUAGUUGGUGAGGUAACUGCUCACCAAGGCGACGAUCAGUAGGGGGCGUGAGAGCGUGGCCCCCCACACGGGUACUGAGACACGGACCCGACUCCUACGGGAGGCAGCAGUGAGGAAUAUUGGUCAAUGGGCGGAAGCCUGAACCAGCCAUGCCGCGUGCAGGACGACGGCCCUACGGGUUGUAAACUGCUUUUCCCCGGGAAGAAUAAGGCCCCUGCGGGGGUCGAUGCCGGUACCGGGGGAAUAAGGAUCGGCUAACUCCGUG